AUUGUUUAUUAUAUUGUAUGUGGAAAUUUGUGAAAGUUAUAAUGAUGAGAUAAGAUGGAUUGAGAUUAACUCUCUAUCCAAACUGAGCCUAAUUCACAUAGGCGUAGUAACACUAUUGAGAUGCUUUAUUCUGAAAUUAAUGUGCUUUCUUCCCCUACCGGGAUUUAGGAUCAUAUUGUGUAGUUUUAUGAAGUUCUACUAACUGAGACGGCUGAUUGGAGACCUACUCUUGAUGGUUUGGUUUUUGAUUCAUUGGAUUCUUUUUCUGCAAGCUGGUUGGAGAGACCGUUUGAGGAGAAUGAGGUUUAUCAGGUGGUUUGUGGAAUGGUCAAAGAUAAAGCUCCUAGCCCGGAUGGUUUUUCCAUGGGUUUUUUUCAAGUUUGUUGGGAUGUUGUGAAAGUAGAUGUGUUAAGGGUUUUCCAGAAAAUUUUCAACUAUCAAAAGUUUGAGAAGUCUCUUAAUGCCACCUUCAUCUCUCUUAUUCCUAAAAUAGCUGGAGCCUCUGAGUUGAAGGGUUUUUGCCCUAUUAGCUUGGUAAGUGGGGUUUAUAAGAUAAUUUCUAAGGUGCUUGCCAAUCGCAUGAGUACAAUGAUGGAAAAAAUUAUUUCUAAACCCCAAAAUGCUUUUGUUCGGGGUAGGCAAAUACUUGAUUUGUUUGAUUGCUAAUGAAUGUUUAGAUAGCCGAAUGAGGGAGGGUGUCUCGGGUGUCAUUUGUAAGCUGGAUAUGGAGAAGGCGUAUGAUCAUGUGAAUUGAGAUUUUUUUUUCUAUAUGCUUGGGAGAUGUGGUUUUGGGGAAAGGUGUUGUGCGUGGAUUAGACAUUGUGUCUUUACUGCUCGGUUUUCAGUGUUAGUUAAUGGAAAUCCUUGUGGUUUUUUUCAUAGCUCUUGUGGAUUGAGACAGGAGGAUUUGUUAUCCCCUUUCCUCUUUGUCAUUAUCAUGGAAGUUUUGAGUUGAAUGGUGGAGGUUGUUGUAAGGGGGAUUUUCUUUUUGGAUUUACGGUGGGAAAUGUUAACCAUGGCUUUUUCACACUUUCUCAUCUUCUUUUUGUAGAUGAUACUAUUAUUUUUUUGUGAUGCUAAUCGUGGACAGAUUCAAGCCUUUAGGGCUAUUUUACUAUGUUUUGAAGUUGUAUCAGGCCUUAAGGUAAACUUCGGUAAGUCGGAGAUGGUUCCGGUGGGAGGGGUGCAGGUUAUUAAUUGUUUGGCGGAGUUUUUGGGGUGUAAAGUUGCUGCUCUAACUAUGAAAUAACUUGGCCUUCCACUGGGGGCGUCUUUAAGGCUAAGUCUAUUUGGGAUUGGGUAGUUGAUAAGAUUGAGAAAAGGCUGGCGGGUUGGAAGAGGUUAUAUCUAUCAAAAGGGGGUAGAAUCACUUUUAUUAAAAAUACUCUUUCGAAUCUCCCAGCUUAUUACCUUUCUUUAUUUCCUUUGCCUGCAGGGGUGGGAAACUGAAUUGAAAAAUUAUUUCGUACAUUUUUGUGGGGAGGAAUGGGUGAGGAGACUAAAAUCCACCUUGUUAGUUGGAAUAGAGUUUGUUCUUCUAUUUCAAAUGGUGGCUUGGGGGUUCGAAAUUUAAGUAGUUUUAACGAAGCCUUAUUGGGGAAAUGGUUGUGGAGGUAUCAAUUGGAAGGGGAGUCGUUGUGGAGGGAGAUUAUAGAUCGGAAAUAUGGAUGUGAUUUGGGGUGGGGGGGAGGGGGGGGGGGGGUUGGUGUUCUAAGGAGGUUAGGGGGACUUAUGGUGUGAGUCUUUGGAAAUUUAUUAGAAAGGGAUGGGAGAAUUUUGUUAAACAUAUGAACUUUGUUGUGGGUGAGGGUUCAAGGAUCCGUUUUUCGU
Juglans microcarpa x Juglans regia is the source of this 1830-nucleotide long non-coding RNA. RefSeq lists it as uncharacterized. Lineage: Eukaryota; Viridiplantae; Streptophyta; Magnoliopsida; Fagales; Juglandaceae. The transcript is spliced from 3 exons. The record is from RefSeq and is a predicted model, not a curated record.